UCAUUCAAAUAAUGAGAUUAACGAGUAAAAGGAAGAAGAAAAGUUAACCAGUUUAGGCAGAGUCGGAUGGGUAUCUA
Molecule: transfer RNA, 77 nt
Filed under: Shewanella putrefaciens
Lineage: Bacteria; Pseudomonadati; Pseudomonadota; Gammaproteobacteria; Alteromonadales; Shewanellaceae
Description: tRNA-Arg
Source: RNAcentral